GAAAGUUCUAUCCUUUUUUAACACCAUUUGGCCCACUAUGCCCAGGAGAAAGGCCUCUGGUUUCUUAGGGAAGGUAUAUUUAAAUACCUUUUUUAAUUCAUUAUAUAUCAUUUCCCAGAAAGCCUUAAUCUUUGGGCACGUCCACCAAAGAUGAAAAAAUGUACCUUCAGUUUGUUUACAUUUCCGUUUCCAGAGGUACUUUAAACGAUUAUACACUCAAGGGCCAUUGAAAGAAACAGACCUAGACCAAUUUUUGAAAACAAAUGGAUUACAAAAAAUAUCUCAAGAAAAUAAAUUAAUUUUGAAUCAUAGAAUAACCGAACAGGAAAUAGAAGGUGCCAUUCAAAACAUGCAAUUGGGUAAAUCUCCAGGACCAGACGGCUUGACCUCUAGAUACUACAGAUCUUUAAAAGAAUGGUUAAUUCAACCUUUGAAAGAGGUCUGCAACGAAAUAAUGGAGGGGAAAAGAGCACCAGAGUCGUGGAAAGAAGCAUAUAUUACACUUGUACCGAAAACAGAAACUGAAAAGACACAGCUUAAGAACUACCGCCCUAUAUCAUUACUUAAUGUGGAUUACAAAAUUUUUGCAGAUAUUUUGGCUAAGAGAUUUUAAAAAGUGUUGAUGGAAGAGAUUCACAAAGACCAAGCGGGCUUUCUCCCAGGAAGACAUUUGUCUGACAAUUUGAGGAAUAUAAUUGAUAUCUUGGAAAAAUUAGAAGUGAAUAUAAAUACCAAAGCAGUUUUGAUAUUUGUAGACGCGGAGAAAGCCUUUGACAAUAUUUCUUGGAAUUUUAUGAAGAAGAAUCUACAGGGUAUGGGGGUAGGCCAAGGUUUUGAGAAUGGUAUAAGUGCAAUUUAUUCAGAACAAAAGGCUAAACUAAUUGUAAAUAAUGUUGUGACGGAAGAACUUAAAAUUGAAAAAGGGACACGACAAGGUUGCCCAAUUUCCCCACUUCUUUUUAUUUCGGUCCUUCAUAACAUAAGCUAGAGACCAAAUACUGACCCAUUCACUUAUGAUUUUAGAAUGAUUUUAGAGUGGUGUGUUGUGUUGUACUGUUGUACUGUUUUAUUGUUGUUAGCCGCCCUGAGCCCGGCUUCGGCUGGGGAGGGCGGGAUAUAAAUGAAAUUAUUAUUAUUAUUAUUAUUAUUAUUAUUAUUAUUACUACUACUACUCAUUUACACUGACCCAGACCCACAUGUCCUAAUAAGGACAACAGUUGUUGGGGAAAUUUUCCAUUGCCUAGCAACUUGUUUAAGACUGUUUUCAUGUUUCUUCUAGAAUAUUCCAACAUUGGCCUCACUCUUCCCACCUUCCUAAUUUAAGUCCAAGGAGCUUGUAGUCAUAGCAGUUAUUAUAGGUUCAUUUUCAUCAUUCAUUAUUUAUGCACAAUUAAGAGAGAUUUAUAUUGAUGGAGCGUUAAUCCAAAAACAACUGUGUGUGUUUCCUUUCUGCAGUGCUGGGUAGAAUCAACAUGCAAUACUGUAAGAAUCCAAUGCCAUCUUAAGUUCUUGUUCCCAGGUGCUCCUUUGUAUUCAGAUCAGGCCUCAGCACAAUAACGUAGCACUUGGGGAGGAAGAUGCAGCCCAGGAGCCCAGCACUGGAGGCCAACAUAGAGAAGAUCUGCACGGCCACCAUGUACUUGCCCUUGGUGCUCAGGUAGGUGGGCACAAAAGACACCCAAACACUGCAGAAGACCAGCAUGCUGAAGGUGAUCAGCUUGGCUUCGUUGAAGGAGCCGGGCAGCUUCCUGGCUAGGAAAGCCACCGUGAAGCAGAUGGCAGCCAAGAAGCCCAGGUAGCCGAGGGCAACGUAGAACAUGGCCACAGAGCCUUCGUUGCAUUGCAAGAUGAUCUCUUCCACCUGGGAGUGCAUGUCAGACUCUGGAAAUGGGGGAGAAGAGCCCAGCCAGAUGGUGCAGAUGAGAACUUGCACACCAGAACAGGAGAUGACAAUGGAGUUGGCCAGACUCUUCCCUAACCAUCUCCUCACCCUGUUCCCGGGCUUUGUGGCCAGGAAGGCCAGCACCACCGUGAUGGUCUUGGCCAAGAGAGAAGAAACAGCAAUGGAGAAGAUGAUGCUGAAGGCCGUUUGUCGGAGAAGGCAGGUCUCUUUCCUUGGGCGCCCGAUGAAGAGGAAGGAGGACAAAAAGGAAAACAGGAGGGAGACGAGCAGGAUGUAGGAGAGGUCCCGGUUGUUGGCUUUGACUAUGGGAGUUUCCUUGUAUUUAAUGAAGAUUUCUAACACAAUGCCUGCUGUAGAAGAUAAGAAGAGGACAAUGGAAGCUAAGGUAAUCCCCAGAUGGUCUUCAUAAGCCAGGAAGGUGAUAAUCUUGGGGACACAUUGAUCUCUGACCUUGUUUGGAUGCUGAUCUUCUGGGCAUUUGGUGCAACGUUCUGCAUCUGAGGAAGAGGAAAAGAGUGGCUUCAGCAUCCCUUACAUCCAUGACCACCUGUGCUCCGGAAAUAAGAAUGUGUAAAGAGUGGCAAGCAAUUCUUUGUUCCUUUUCUGCAAAGGGC
This 2517-nucleotide long non-coding RNA is filed under the name Podarcis lilfordi (Lilford's wall lizard). The record is from RNAcentral. Lineage: Eukaryota; Metazoa; Chordata; Lepidosauria; Squamata; Lacertidae.